UAAGUCUCUUCUCUGCCAAACUGCCUUAAGCGCAAUUCAAACACACGCACACAUAAUACACACACAGAAAGGUUUCAAUUAAAAUGCUAUGGAGGAAUGCAAUAUUCGAAUUUCACAUAUUCUGAGGGAAGGCAAAAGUUAUUGUCUCUAUGCCCUACUAUUUGGAAGAAUACUCUACUGCCAUAUACUUUAUGCAGAUUCUAUUGGAAAGUACAUACAAAAGGAGUUGAGGUGCUUAGAGGUGAUAUCAAAGUGCAGAUCAACAUUUCAAUAUCACAUGAAGAGAGGCAAAUCAUGAUUGGCAUAUGUUAUCAAUGCAUCACACACACAAUCAACAGCAAAACUGAUUGCUUCAAUGAUGUGCGCAUCUGGUGCAAACAUGGACAGACAUGUUCGCAUCUGGAUCAAAUAUAGCAAUCAGCAACAAUAAGCAUGAAAUAAAGGAAGUCCAAGUUCAAAAGUUGAACAGACUCCCUCGUUCUCAGACGAGAAUGUGCUGUUCAAAUGGCCAUAUGGAAGAAUUACGAUGCAGAAAAUUGAGCGGUUGUUCACUGUCAUCAAACAGAAUACAGAAGGAAAACAUGGCCACAUGAUAGGCAUAUGUUAUCACUUUAUCGCACACACAGUCAAUAGCAAAACUGAUUGCUUCAAUGAUGUGCGCAUCUGGUGCAAACAUGGCCAAAUAUGUGCGCAUCUGGAGC
RNAcentral lists this long non-coding RNA (701 nucleotides) under Nicotiana benthamiana. RNAcentral's name for it is "long non-coding RNA (NBEN_LNC040726)". Lineage: Eukaryota; Viridiplantae; Streptophyta; Magnoliopsida; Solanales; Solanaceae. The record is from RNAcentral.